RNAcentral lists this ribosomal RNA (440 nucleotides) under uncultured bacterium. RNAcentral describes it as "partial 16S ribosomal RNA". It matches the Rfam family "Bacterial small subunit ribosomal RNA", at positions 338 to 795 of the family's 1533-position model. The record is from RNAcentral.
CCUACGGGAGGCAGCAGUGGGGAAUAUUGCACAAUGGGGGAAACCCUGAUGCAGCGACGCCGCGUGAGCGAAGAAGUAUUUCGGUAUGUAAAGCUCUAUCAGCAGGGAAGAAAAUGACGGUACCUGAGUACGAAGCUCCGGCUAAAUACGUGCCAGCAGCCGCGGUACUACGUAUGGAGCAAGCGUUAUCCGGAUUUACUGGGCGUAAGGGGAGCGUAGGGGGCCUGCCAAGUCUGGAGUGAAAUGCCGGAGCUUAACUGCGGAACUGCUUUGGAAACUGGCGAACUAGAGUGCGGGAGGGGUAAGCGGAAUUCCUAGUGUAGCGGUGAAAUGCGUAGAUAUUAGGAGGAACACCGGUGGCGAAGGCGGCUUACUGGACCGUAACUGACGUUGAGGCUCGAAAGCGUGGGGAGCAAACAGGAUUAGAUACCCCAGUAGUC